RNAcentral lists this ribosomal RNA (460 nucleotides) under uncultured bacterium. RNAcentral describes it as "SSU rRNA". It matches the Rfam family "Bacterial small subunit ribosomal RNA", at positions 26 to 518 of the family's 1533-position model. The record is from RNAcentral.
AGAAUCAACGCUGGCGGCGUGCCUAACACAUGCAAGUCGAACGAGAAAGUGGAGCAAUCCAUGAGUAAAGUGGCGCACGGGUGAGUAACACGUGACUAACCUACCUUUUAGUGGGGGAUAACCUAGGGAAACCUGGGCUAAUACCGCAUAAUACCUACGGGUUAAAGCAGCAAUGCGCUGAAAGAGGGGGUCGCGGCCGAUUAGCUAGUUGGCGGGGUAAUGGCCCACCAAGGCAGUGAUCGGUAUCCGGCCUGAGAGGGCGCACGGACACACUGGAACUGAAACACGGUCCAGACUCCUACGGGAGGCAGCAGUGGGGAAUUUUGCGCAAUGGGGGAAACCCUGACGCAGCAACGCCGCGUGGAGGAUGAAGUCCCUUGGGACGUAAACUCCUUUCGAUCGGGACGAUAAUGACGGUACCGGAAGAAGAAGCCCCGGCUAACUUCGCGCCAGCAGCCGC